CAAUGGCCCUUUUUGCGGUAUUUCUCUCUAUUAUUUUAGAGAUUUAUAAUUCGUCCCUUUUACUGGACCAAAUUUCUAUGAAUUAGAGAAUUCGAUUCACAAGAACCAACUAACUAGCUUUUCAAUAGAAAAGUAAAGUUUGCCAUUUAGAUCGUUCCUUUUUAGCCCAUUCCAUUUUGAUUUAUUUGGUAGUUCGACCGCGAAACUUCUUUGUUUCUGUAUUUCCGGAAUAUGAGUGUGUGACUUGUUAUAAUGGAUCCUAUUGAUAGAUCAAGACUACAAUGGAUCUAUAGGGUAAGAUCCUUUAUCUACAGCGGAAUGGUAUACAAAGUCAACAGAUCUCAAUCAAAAAAAUAGGAUUUAUGGCUACACAAACCGUUGAGGGUAGUUCUAGAUCUAGUCCAAGACGAACUGUUGUAGGAGAUUUAUUGAAACCAUUGAAUUCAGAAUAUGGUAAAGUAGCUCCGGGGUGGGGAACUACCCCUUUGAUGGGGAUUGCAAUGGCCCUAUUUGCGGUAUUUCUCUCUUUUAUUUUAGAGAUUUAUAAUUCGUCCCUUUUACUGGACCAAAUUUCUAUGAAUUAGAGAAUUCGAUUCACAAGAACCAACUAACUAGCUUUUCAAUAGAAAAGUAAAGUUUACCAUUUAGAUCGUUCCUUUUAGCCCAUUCCAUUUUGAUUUAUUUGGUAGUUCGACCGCGAAACUUCUUUGUUUCUGUAUUUCCGGAAUAU
RNAcentral lists this long non-coding RNA (730 nucleotides) under Lathyrus oleraceus (garden pea). Its description in RNAcentral is "Pisum sativum (pea) long non-coding RNA (PSAT_LNC003413)". The record is from RNAcentral. Lineage: Eukaryota; Viridiplantae; Streptophyta; Magnoliopsida; Fabales; Fabaceae.